This 465-nucleotide ribosomal RNA is filed under the name uncultured bacterium. RNAcentral's name for it is "partial 16S ribosomal RNA". It matches the Rfam family "Bacterial small subunit ribosomal RNA", at positions 28 to 507 of the family's 1533-position model. The record is from RNAcentral.
GACGAACGCUGGCGGCGUGCUUAACACAUGCAAGUCGAACGGAAAGGCCCUGCUUGCAGGGUACUCGAGUGGCGAACGGGUGAGUAACACGUGGGUGAUCUGCCCUGCACUUCGGGAUAAGCCUGGGAAACUGGGUCUAAUACCGGAUAGGAGCCAUCUUUAGUGUGAUGGUUGGAAAGUUUUUUCGGUGUAGGAUGAGCUCGCGGCCUAUCAGCUUGUUGGUGGGGUAAUGGCCUACCAAGGCGGCGACGGGUAGCCGGCCUGAGAGGGUGGACGGCCACAUUGGGACUGAGAUACGGCCCAGACUCCUACGGGAGGCAGCAGUGGGGAAUAUUGCACAAUGGGCGCGAGCCUGAUGCAGCGACGCCGCGUGGGGGAUGACGGCCUUCGGGUUGUGAACUCCUUUCGCUAGGGAAGGAGCUUUUUGUGACGGUACCUAGAUAAGAAGCACCGGCUAACUACGUG